Vidua chalybeata is the source of this 336-nucleotide long non-coding RNA. RefSeq lists it as uncharacterized. NCBI's taxonomy places the organism in Eukaryota, Metazoa, Chordata, Aves, Passeriformes, Viduidae. The transcript is spliced from 3 exons. The record is from RefSeq and is a predicted model, not a curated record.
UCUCCCAGUUAUCCAAGUGCAUUAUCAUCAACCCCAUGUGUAUAAACAUCUGAAGUGACUGCUCAGAGGAUUUGAUAUCUGAUUAGCAUUACCAGAUGUGGAAUGGCAACAUGGCUGAACAAUGCCUGAGGGGCAGGAUGGAGCAAGCCGCCAGCAGUGGAGGACAUAAACUUUAAAAGGAAAAUUAAAAGUGUUAUGUUUCAAAAAAUAACAGUCAUCUGAAAAAAGAAGAGAUGGGCCUGGAGAAAAACUGGAUCCAAACAGUCCCUGGAUGCUGAAGAAAUUUACAUCCAGGCUGGAUUAAAAAUGUGCAAGUAAACCUCAUCAUUCAUCAGA